RNAcentral lists this ribosomal RNA (463 nucleotides) under uncultured bacterium. RNAcentral describes it as "partial 16S ribosomal RNA". It matches the Rfam family "Bacterial small subunit ribosomal RNA", at positions 28 to 507 of the family's 1533-position model. The record is from RNAcentral.
GAUGAACGCUGGCGGCGUGCUUAACACAUGCAAGUCGAACGGAAAGGCCUUUUCGGAGGUACUCGAGCGGCGACCGGGUGAGUAACACGUGGGUGAUGUGCACUGCACUAUGGGACAAGCCUGGGUAAGUGGGUCCAAUACCGGGUAGGACCGAAAUAUAGAGUGUGAGGGGGAAAGAUUUUUCGGUGUAGUAUGUGCCAGCGGCCUAUCAGCUUGUUGGUGGGGUGAUGGCCUACCAAGGCGGCGACGGGUAGCUGGACUGAGCGAUUGGUCGGCCACACUGGGACUGAGAGACGGCCCAGACUCCUACGUGAGGCGGCAGGGGGGAAAAUCUCACAAUGGGCGCAAGCCUGAUGCAGCGACGCCUCGUGGGGGAUGACCUCCGUCGGGUUGUAAACUCCUUUCGCCAGGUACGAAUCGUUUUGUGACGGUACCUGGAGAAGAAGCACCGGCUAACUACGUU